GCGUUCGCAGGCCUCAAGUCUGUCCCCACUGGUCGCUCUGCUCGGGGAAGUCAGCCCCGAGGCACAAGGCCGGGUUGAGGGGUGGGGACCCGCUCUCUCUAAGCUGGGGAAACACCUAGUGUCAUCGACCCUUUCCUUCCAAGGGCGCUGAACAACACACCAUGACUCAAAUGGAUACUAAAAAGCCAAGGAAACAGAGUUUGACUGCCUUACCAAUGCUGAAAAUGAGAAAGAAAGAAAAUUUCACCUCUGGGAAGAUACUGAGUGUAUGCUUGUUUCAGAUGUUGUUCUAGGUGUUGGGGACACACUGAGAAAUGAAACAGACCAACAAAUUCUUCUUUGUAGGAAGAAAUGAUGUUUUGAUUGGAUGCUGAAAAUUAUAAACCCCAGGCCUCCUUUCUCUGGUAGCAAAGCAUUGGAACCGAGUAAACCAGUGGUUUCAGCCUUGGCCAUGCAUUUUGAAUCGUGCAGGGAAGUUUUAAAGACUGUUGAAAUCAGAGUCUCUAGGUGUGGUGCACAAUUUUUAGAAGUUAUUUUCCACCAUGUGGGGACAGAUCCUGACUUAAAUGCCAGCUGUGAGGCCUUGACUAGGUUAGGUCUCUGACUGUGGGCCAGGGCACUGCAGCAGCCUUAGCUCCCUCGUGGCAGUGGUAAGGAGGUAAGAGAAAGUGGCAGAGCUUGGAAGGCCGAUAAAUGUGCUUUUCCCACCAGGGGAGGUGGUGCACAUCCAUAAUCCCAGCACUUGGGAGACUGACACAAGAGGGUUACAAGUCUGAACCACCCUGGGCAACUUGGUGAUUUAGAGACCCUGUCCCCAAAGGGCUGGGAUGUAGCUCAGUGCAAAGGCCCUGGGUUCAAUCCCCAGUACCUAAAAGGAAGGAAGGAAGAAAGAAGAAAAAAGAAAUGUUUUUACCUUCCUUUCUCUCCCCAAUAAGAGAUUGAGCACAGUGCCUGAACCAACAGGGGCUUUGUUUUAUGAGACGGUGAAUAACUGAGCCUCAUGCAUUAAAGAAGGUAUCUGAGGUCACUCAUUCAGUCUCAUUUCAGCAAUAUAGACAAAGAAAUCAAUCAAAACAAAGCCCCAUCCAACCAUUUGGUAUUACAAAGGAAUGGAGGCACAGUCAAACCUGAGGAGAGAGCAGAAAGCAGAGGUUACAGUUGCCAUUUGUGUCUAGGUUUUAGGGUGGCACCUAUUUGUGGUAGUGAAUUCACCUGUUAAAUGUAAAUGACAGAUUAAGAGUUAACGAAUUCCUGAUGAUUGCAGUCCUAAAACAUUUAAAAUAUAACCAGGAGCAGCCAAUUUGCAUUUGAAUGAUAAGACUGAAGUUCCUAUAUUUAUUGACCAUUUGUGUUUCUUCUUUAAAAUGCCUGAUCUGGGCCAGGGAUUUAGCUCAGUGGCUCUGCACCUGCCUUGCAAGCACAAGGUCCUGAGUUCAAUCCCCGGUACCAAAAAAAAGAAAAGAAAGAAAGAAAAACGCCUGGUCUGGUCAUGUCUUUAUUGUGUAAAUAUUUUUCUAUGGCAUUGUCAUCUUCUUAUUGAUUUGCAAAGUAUUUUGUAUACUCUGUAUACUAAUGCUGUGAGAAUUGUAUAUGCUGUAAAUUAUCUUCUAGAGUGUUAGCGUGUCUGUUUUUAUGUCCUGAAUUUUUUUUAGAGCAGUUGACUUUUGUAUAUGAAUCUUAUAU
Molecule: non-coding RNA, 1683 nt
Organism: Heterocephalus glaber (naked mole-rat)
Lineage: Eukaryota; Metazoa; Chordata; Mammalia; Rodentia; Bathyergidae
Source: RefSeq, a predicted model, not a curated record